Molecule: ribosomal RNA, 464 nt
Filed under: uncultured Pelotomaculum sp.
Lineage: Bacteria; Bacillati; Bacillota; Clostridia; Eubacteriales; Desulfotomaculaceae
Description: bacterial SSU rRNA
Rfam family: Bacterial small subunit ribosomal RNA
Source: RNAcentral
CCCGCACAAGCGGUGAGCAUGUGGUUUAAUUCGACGCAACGCGAAGAACCUUACCAGGGCUUGACAUCCCCUGACCGCGUAUGAAAGUACGUUUUCACCCUCGGGUGACAGGGUGACAGGUGGUGCAUGGUUGUCGUCAGCUCGUGUCGUGAGAUGUUGGGUUAAGUCCCGCAACGAGCGCAACCCCUACGUUUAGUUGCUAACGCGUGAAGGCGAGCACUCUAGACGAACUGCCGUUGACAAAACGGAGGAAGGUGGGGAUGACGUCAAAUCAUCAUGCCCCUUAUGUUCUGGGCUACACACGUGCUACAAUGGCCGGUACAGACGGACGCAAAGCCGCGAGGUGGAGCAAAUCCUAAAAAGCCGGUCUCAGUUCGGAUUGCAGGCUGCAAUUCGCCUGCAUGAAGUCGGAAUCGCUAGUAAUCGCAGGUCAGCAUACUGCGGUGAAUACGUUCCCGGGCCUU